RNAcentral lists this ribosomal RNA (253 nucleotides) under uncultured bacterium. RNAcentral's name for it is "partial 16S ribosomal RNA". It matches the Rfam family "Bacterial small subunit ribosomal RNA", at positions 524 to 776 of the family's 1533-position model. The record is from RNAcentral.
GACGUAGGGCGCGAGCGUUGUCCGGAUUUAUUGGGCGUAAAGAGCUCGUAGGCGGCUUGUCGCGUCGUUCGUGAAAACCCACAGCUCAACUGUGGGCUUGCGGUCGAUACGGGCAGGCUAGAGUUCGGUAGGGGAGACUGGAAUUCCUGGUGUAGCGGUGAAAUGCGCAGAUAUCAGGAGGAACACCGGUGGCGAAGGCGGGUCUCUGGACAGUUCCUGACGCUGAGGCACGAAAGCGUGGGGAGCAAACAGG